CAUACAUCCCUUUGACUCUGUUGUCUGCCACCAUCUUAUUACCCACAAAUCAGACUCAAGGUAUAUUCUGAUGACUUCUAGCAAUGCAAGACAUUUCAUUUACAAUAGUCAGAUUUAAAGAGGACUUUAAAAAUUUGGUCAGGUAGGCUUAGUUUCUAAGAAUUAUUAUGAUAAUAGCAAUUCUAUAUUUAUCAAAUAUUUGUUCAAGUUUAGUCAUUAGCUUAAUGUGUGUGUUCAUGUGUAUGUCACAUGCAUGUGAGUGUGAUGAUACAUAGAGCUGUAUUAUGCAUAAUUUAAAGCUUUAUUAUUGUCUAGUUAAGAAGGUAGUCAUCAUUCAGAAAAAUGGUUUCCCAGUUGUGAAGCAGCAUGUUAAACUUAACUGAAAAAUUGAGACAAAAGAAGAGUUUGGUUCUUUCAAGGGUCUGGCAUGCAGCUAAACUGCACCCGUGACCAAUUAAAACAGAGUAUCUGGGGUGGGACCCAUGCAUUGGUAUUUUUUAUUUUAUUUUAUAGGUAAUUUUAAUGUGAGCAAAGAUUAGGAACCUCUGAGCUAGAGGAAAGUCUGAGUGAGGGGGAGCCAGGAGCAAAUGAGGGAAAGUAACUGUGGAAGAUGGUUAAGGACCUGGAGCAGACAGAGAUGAAGGGAAGCUAAGCUGAGAACUGUAAGUGACAGAGGAAUCACUCAAGCUGGGGAAAAUUAAGUGGCCUUAUAGUUAAAGGUGGAAGAGCAGAAGGGGUGUCAACUGUAAGCACUAUUAACAUCUACAUUCUAAAGAGCUGCAGAACGUAAACUAGAGCAGAAGCAAUUCAAGCAGUCCAAGGGAGUCAUAAGGUGAGAGUAAGAUAAAUUGGUAAAUACUUAAAGGAAUAGAGGAUUGUAGAGUGCUUUGGCAAUAGAAAGUUAUGUACAGUUUUUGUUCCAUUUAAAUGUUUGUAGAAACUGGGCUCUGUAAGUGGAAUGUGAAGCAAUUUAUUAUCUAAGCAUUUUAUAUACAAAAGCAUAGUUUGAAUAUAUCCAAUGACCUGCCUUGCUUCUCUUGCUACUCAUACCCCAAGGGACAAAAGUUCUGUCUGAACUCUUACUAAUCCCUCACCAGUAACUAGAUAAUGAGCCAUCUACCUCACAACCCUCCUCUCCUACCACUCCACCAGAGCUGAAGGGCUGCUUGAGUGCUGAGAUGACCAGGACAUUACACCAUGGCAGCAGUUUAUAAAGAAAACAAAUUCUCAGCAAGAAUAUCAUAUCACUCAAACUUGAGGUGAAAUUUUGAGAUACUACCAUUAAUCUGAUCAAAAACAGAAAGACAAAAAGAAGGAUAUCCCAAAAGCAUCUUUCCUUUCCUUUUCUCUUUCUUACCUGACAUUAGGGAAAAUGAAAAAAAUGGAAGAGAAAUGAAUAAUAACCACCUAGAAACAAACACGUCAUAUUUCCUAUGUUUUGUAACUUGCUUUUUUCCCCCUUAACAUAUAUAAGCACUUUCUUAGCACAUGAACAUAGCUUCAUGAACAUUUGUUUUUCUAACCACUCUGCUAUUACUUGACAUCUUUCCAGAUGAAGUUACUGUUUUCACUAGUGAUGGGGGCACAGGUAGGAGUUACAGAACAUAAAUAGAAAUGCACAUUGUUUGUGUGAGUCCCAUAAAGUGCCUCCCCUAGACAGAGGGCAGAGAAGGGGACCUGCAUCUUUGGGCAAGCUUGUGACGAUCAGCUGCUUGUUGACUUCCUCAGCUCCCUGGAGUUGAGAGCAACAAACAUAACUGUGAGCAUAUUCAAAAGAGAUUUCUCCACAACUGUAAAUGGUUCACUCUGAGACAGCACUGUCUAAAUGGAAGAAGACAGCUGGCUGACUGGAAGAACCAAGCAGACCCAGCCCACCUGGGGUAGGACUCAUGAGAGACCAGGGAAGACUUCCACAGAUGUAAAAAAGGGGCUGGAAUGUCAGAAUACAUUUUGUUUUUUCCUUCAUGCUUCCCAGGCUCCUAACCAGCCACUUUCUUUUCACUCUUCCACCCUCUCUCCUUUUUCAUUUGGAAGUUCCUUCUCUCUCCCCCUUCCCUCUAUUUCUCUCUCUCCUCUCUCUCCAUCCCAUUCUUUCUCUCCCUCCUUUUUCUUUAAGCCACCAUCAUAACCUGCUAUCACAUGAAGUAAAAUAUAUCUGUUUAUCAUUAGUUGUGGUUAUCAUAUUACAACUGUGUUUCAAAUUUAGCUCAUGGUGCCUCUGUCCUCUGUCCACAAAGGUCAGGUCAUUGUUAGGACUACUCUAUGAUGGGAUCUAGAAGGUACUGAGUCUAGGAAAUACAGUACCUCAGACUUUAUAGUCCUCUCUAGCCUGAUUCCAGUUUGGAUGGUUUGCCCAUCUUAUUGGCUCAAGUCUAUUCAAGUCUAUUCUAAAGGGGCCCUUUGGUGCUUGCUUUUAACCUAUGAGUUCUGGGUCUGCACCUUUGAUCACUUAAAUUCCUGUGACUUUUCUGUUGGGAAUACAGUCCUGAAAUCUUGUCUUGCGGAGGUGUUAUUUAUUUAUUUUUCUCAGUGAGAGAAAUAGAAUUCAGGAAGUCUAGUGAGAUUUACAACAGAAUGAAACAAGUAAGACAGAUCCAGUAAGGAGUAUAGGAUUGAGCAGAAAAAUUUUGACCUGGGCUGACAGGAUUAGUGAGAGUUCUUGUAAAGGAAAGUGAGAAAAAGGUAGGAGAAACAUUGGGGUAGCUCUAACGGGGAGAUAUAUUGUGGAUGAGAAAGAAUUCCGUAGGUUUUUUGAGCAUUUGUAGGUUAUAUAUACAGAAAGGAACCUAUAGUAAAGAAUCAGCUUACUUUUAAUAACUUUUGCUUGCUCGUCUGUUAGUUCUUUGUAUGUGAUUCCAUGUAUGAACUUGCACCAUGAAAGGGCUCAGCUUUACACACACAUAAAAAUAAACAUACACACACAUAAUUAUACAUCAUAUCUGUUAGCAAGAACUAGGACCAUUGUAGAGCUUAGGAAAUAUUUGUUGAGUAAAUGAAUCAAUCUACCCAGAGAAUGGAGUUCACACUCUGGCAAUGGAAGUUGAAACAAUGCAAUGAAACUAAAAUUUCUGUAUGGUGAUUAGUUUUCUCAGGCUGCUUUUCCAAGAAAUAAAAGGUAGCAAUUGAAAAAUAUAUUUUAUGUAUGCAUUUUCUUAUCUUAUUUUUGUAAUAAAUGCUCAUUAGAACUAGUCCUUUCUUGUUCUCAACCCUGUGAGAUGGCCAUUGUGAGGAAUAUGGUAUGUAAUUUUCUGUAGCUUUUUUUGUGUGCAUUCAUGUAACAUACACAACACAUUUACUCAUAAAUAUUCAUGAACCUGAAAAUUUGCUCAUAUCAUUUAAUAAAUUAUGGUAAUCUUUCCAGGUCAAUAGUAAUAGAUACAAUUCUUUCUUUUUCUAAGGGAAUACUUUUCAAUAACAUCUGUCCAUAUCACAUGGUAUCAAUGGUCAAAUAAAUGAAUUCACUAUAUAUUUUUUGAACAAUUUUAUUAAAUUUUACUAAAUUUUUACACUGGAUACUCAAACAUUUACUGAACACUUAUCUGGUACAAGUUUCAGUGACCAAGAAAAUCAGUAAAAUACUCAUGGUUCUUCCCCUCAAGGAAAUUCACUGUCUCAUAUAGGAGCUUUUUUUUUUUUAACUUGAGAACCUGCUCAUAGAAUUUAUAGUAAAGUAUGCUUUUAAAAUAAAUUUUUAGGAGUAAUAUAUCACUGUCAAUUCAUUCUGAGUCAUUGUUUUCAGUGUAUGAACAGUACUUAGCAGCACAAGAGUACUUCCCUAUAUGGCAACUCAAAAAACAAACUAAUUUCCAACCACUAAGACCUCAGAUAAGGCACCUUACUCCUGAGACCUCAAAGUGAUUUAUAAUUCUACUAAUACUUUUACUGUAAUAGUAAUACAUGAUAUUUAUGAACUAACUUUAUUCCAUGGAGCUCUAAAUACUUCAUAUAUAUCAUUUGACUUCUUUGAAUAAUGUCUGUAAGAUAGAGAAAAGUGUCCCCUGCAGAUAAGGAAAAUGAUGUAGACACAAAACUUUGACAGUGUCUGAAUCAAGUCUUCAGACAGUCAGCCCCAUGCUCUUUCCUCUCAAUUACACUUGCUGUCUCCCUAGUGGUAACUGCAGUGAUUAAGUGGAUAGUAUUAUGUCAUCAAUCCGAGAAUCUCAUAUAGCACAAUAGGUUCAGUUCUUAUUAAAAAACAAGAGCUUUUCAUGCAAACUAUUUCUCUAUCUGCUAAAAGAACUUGUACAGGAAAUGUUCCUGACAAAUUUUCUAGGUAAGAUACAACUAAGUUUGGCCAGUCUAGUCGACCCCUCGCACUCCCAAUGCUACAGUGGAUAUGACAGAUGUAGCAUUAAAUGUGUAACUCAGGUGCACAACUGGUCCUGCCAGCCCUAAUCCUGAGAAGAGAACAGAACUCUGAUAACAACAAUAAUGGCAACAUAUAUUGAUCAUUUAAUAAAGUCUUAGAAUAUUCAAAUAAGGUAAUCAAAGAACAGUUCAGUAGUUGUAGCAAAGAUUAAGCAAAUUUCAUAUGGUCAAUUUAGUGCAACUGCAAACUAGUAAACAACAGUCAAAACCCUAAAUCUCCUAAUGUUCAGUACUAUCACAGGAGUGAAAUUAUUUUCCUACAUCUUUGAAGACAUUUUAUCAUAGGAGGUUUAUAACUGAGAAUAUGAUACUAACCAGAAGUUUGAUCAUUCUGUAUUUAAUUUCUCAUGGACUACCAGUUCAGUGUGGCCUACUCCCUUUUCCAGUUGACUUAAAGAAUGGGGCUUUCAAAUUCUUACUGGGAUAUGUGAAGGGCACUUGCAUUUGUAACCAAUGUGCUGCAACCUGAAGGUAACACUUUAUUGUUCUUGGGAAACAUAGGCCUAAUUCCCUGGAGAUUGACUAUUUCAAAGAGUCGCAAGUCUCCUGAUUGUUUCUUAUCAGUCUUAAAGAAAUUAGAUAAGCUUCUUCCCUCUUACAAAAGCUUUUUCCUCACUCAAAAUUCCUUUGAGAACAAAACAUUGAAUGAGAAAUGGAUUUUUAACAAAAUAUUGUAAGACUGUUGAAGACAUUUUGUUUUAUUUUGCUUUUUCCUGAGGAGACCCAGUAGUUCAAAGGAUAUAUUAAUGAGCUUUCUGAUCUAGGGCUACUGGCAAAAUGUGGCAAAAAGCAAGUCUGAGCCAAAGAACAAAGUCCCUUCUGUGAAGCAGGAAGGGUUGCUUUUCACUGGAUUAUUUUAGAAGAUUUAACUAGACUCUGUCACACAGAAAGACUGAGAGGUCAAACUCAAGAAGUGGAAGGGAAAAGACAACAAUUCUAGGACUGUAACAGAUCCUGAAAAACUUUUCUCUGAUGGAAAUGACCCCUGGCAGCAGUGACAUUCUGACACCAUGUGUGAUGCACACUCUUGGGAUGACUGAAUUCCAUGUCACAACGGCUCUGCUCAGAGUACUGGUUUCCUCAUGCCUCUAAGCCCAAUUCAACCACUGAAAGUUUCUAAUGGUCUCCUGUCCACUUUGUAAAUCACCAUAAAGAAUAUUAAGUCAACCAGAAAAAUCUGCCUCUAUGUGAUUCACUGCACAACCAGAGGCAUGUUAUCAAGAUAUACAGGAAAACUGAAAAAAAAAAAAAAUUUUUUUUAUAACAAAUGUUUUCAGAAUAUCCCUUUAUAUAUGAAUUUUGGACUACUUGGUAGAGAGGAAUACAGUUCCACGGAUCUCAGACAAAGAGCCUAAGGUAUUUUUUCCUCAGAAAGCACUGCUCAGACCCUGAGAGUAGAGGACAGAUCACAGCCCCAGAGCCUGAGUUGGGGGCUACUCUUAGGCUAGAUGUCUGAGGAUGAUGUGCACUGGUGUGACCAGUAUGGUUUGGGUGACCUGCACGCCCUACACUGGGCCUCAAUUUUACUUAUUUCAAAAUGAGAUGAUUGAACUUUUAUUUCUUACAUCUUUUUUUACCCAUAAUGUUUGAUGAAGCUCUGUUCUUAAAUCCCUUUCACUUCAAAUUUUUAAUCUUAAAAAAAAAUCAUAAAAUGUGUUUAUACAGUUCUUUGAGCUCUUAAAUGUUAUUCAACAUGGUAACAGUAUAAUUCACUAAGCCUAAAUUUUAUCAUUUUAGAUUUGCCUCAGAGGCCAAGUUUUAUGAGAGCCUUAAUUUUCAUCACCAGAAGAUGAUUUAAUAAAAAUGAAGGGACACCAUUUGGAAAUAAACUGAAAUUGGCAUGGGAGGGCAGAGAACCUUAUACAAAAAAUCAGGUUCCUAAACUUAGAAGGGGUCAAAUGGUUCUGAGUUCCAAAGAAUUUUUUGCUUUUAUUAGUGCUGAGAAAAUGGAUCUGACUUUUUGUACACUGAAAGUAGAAGCUUCUAAUGGCAACUUUCCCAUAUCCCUGGUCUCUUGAUAUAAUAACUAUAGUACCAUUUGCCCCAUUUCCUUGAAGCAGAUUCUACUGCACGGCAGUUGGACAAAAAGGUGCAGAGCCUCAUCUAUGCUGGAGUCAGAUGGGUUUAUCUUUAGAGACAAUUUCAGUAUGUGGGAUGUAAGGCACAUCACUUAAAUGGAAAGCUACUGAAGACCAUCUCACUGACAAAAAGGGUAUGGUAUGAAUGGACGCUUCUUAUCUUGGUCAGGAGAACGAAGUUCAAUGUCAGUGAAGCGAAACACUAGGAAGCUGAUGCCUAUUAUGAUGUGAUGAACAAUAGACUUGUCUUUGACAAAUUCCUUUAUAAUUGUCUUCCUGACUGUCAAAACUUUAUUCAAUUCCUUUUCCCAAUAAAUAUUCUCUGACAGAAUGAGUCCUAAAGUUCUGACUUUUAACAUAUUUUUUAAUUGUAGUAACAACAACAGCUACUUCUUGAUACUACUACUAUUCCAAACAUGGGAUAAUAAAAAUCAGGAAGAAACAGACCCUGUUUUUUAGAGACCUUACCAUCUCUGGGUUUGAACUGUUGUAACAAAAAUAACAAUAAUCAUCAUUUAUUCACUCAUACCAGCAAGGCACUGUGCUCAGUGGGCAACAUGAAGGAGCUGCCAGGGUUCCCUCUGGUUCCCCAGAUACCCUGACAGUGAGAGAAUCCUGCUGUGUCUCUGCAUCAUCUCUCUCUC
Manis pentadactyla (Chinese pangolin) is the source of this 7090-nucleotide long non-coding RNA. RefSeq lists it as uncharacterized. The record is from RefSeq and is a predicted model, not a curated record. NCBI's taxonomy places the organism in Eukaryota, Metazoa, Chordata, Mammalia, Pholidota, Manidae. The transcript is spliced from 2 exons.